UCGUCCUGAAAACGAAACGGAACAAAAGUUCAAGAUAUUGAUUUCGAAUCGUUUAUCAGGAUGAUG
This is a microRNA precursor of Caenorhabditis elegans, 66 nucleotides long. It matches the Rfam family "mir-59 microRNA precursor family". NCBI's taxonomy places the organism in Eukaryota, Metazoa, Nematoda, Chromadorea, Rhabditida, Rhabditidae. The record is from Rfam.